GACGAACGCUGGUGGCGUGCUUAACACAUGCAAGUCGAACGGAAAGGCCCCCUUGUGGGGUACUCGAGUGGCGAACGGGUGAGUAACACGUGAGUAACCUACCCUUGACUUUGGGAUAACUUCAGGAAACUGGGGCUAAUACCGGAUAGGAGCUCCUGCUGCAUGGUGGGGGUUGGAAAGUUUCGGCGGUUGGGGAUGGACUCGCGGCUUAUCAGCUUGUUGGUGGGGUAGUGGCUCACCAAGGCUUUGACGGGUAGCCGGCCUGAGAGGGUGACCGGCCACAUUGGGACUGAGAUACGGCCCAGACUCCUACGGGAGGCAGCAGUGGGGAAUAUUGCACAAUGGGCGGAAGCCUGAUGCAGCAACGCCGCGUGCGGGAUGACGGCCUUCGGGUUGUAAACCGCUUUCGCCUGUGACGAAGCGUGAGUGACGGUAAUGGGUAAAGAAGCACCGGCUAACUACGUG
RNAcentral lists this ribosomal RNA (465 nucleotides) under uncultured bacterium. RNAcentral describes it as "partial 16S ribosomal RNA". It matches the Rfam family "Bacterial small subunit ribosomal RNA", at positions 28 to 507 of the family's 1533-position model. The record is from RNAcentral.